Molecule: ribosomal RNA, 201 nt
Filed under: Staphylococcus aureus
Lineage: Bacteria; Bacillati; Bacillota; Bacilli; Caryophanales; Staphylococcaceae
Description: partial 16S ribosomal RNA
Rfam family: Bacterial small subunit ribosomal RNA
Source: RNAcentral
UUUAUGGAGAGUUUGAUCCUGGCUCAGGAUGAACGCUGGCGGCGUGCCUAAUACAUGCAAGUCGAGCGAACGGACGAGAAGCUUGCUUCUCUGAUGUUAGCGGCGGACGGGUGAGUAACACGUGGAUAACCUACCUAUAAGACUGGGAUAACUUUGGGAAACUGGAGCUAAUACCGGAUAAUAUUUUGAACCGCAUGGUUC